Molecule: ribosomal RNA, 101 nt
Filed under: Priestia endophytica
Lineage: Bacteria; Bacillati; Bacillota; Bacilli; Caryophanales; Bacillaceae
Source: RNAcentral
CAAGAGGUCACACCUGUUCCCAUGCCGAACACAGAAGUUAAGCUCUUGAACGCCGAUGGUAGUUGGGACUUUGUCCCUGUGAGAGUAGGACGUUGCCAGGC